This 492-nucleotide ribosomal RNA is filed under the name uncultured bacterium. Its description in RNAcentral is "partial 16S ribosomal RNA". It matches the Rfam family "Bacterial small subunit ribosomal RNA", at positions 29 to 507 of the family's 1533-position model. The record is from RNAcentral.
AGUGAACGCUGGCGGUAGGCCUAACACAUGCAAGUCGAACGGCAGCACAGUAAGAGCUUGCUCUUACGGGUGGCGAGUGGCGGACGGGUGAGGAAUACAUCGGAAUCUACUUUUUCGUGGGGGAUAACGUAGGGAAACUUACGCUAAUACCGCAUACGACCUACGGGUGAAAGCAGGGGAUCUUCGGACCUUGCGCGAUUGAAUGAGCCGAUGUCGGAUUAGCUAGUUGGCGGGGUAAAGGCCCACCAAGGCGACGAUCCGUAGCUGGUCUGAGAGGAUGAUCAGCCACACUGGAACUGAGACACGGUCCAGACUCCUACGGGAGGCAGCAGUGGGGAAUAUUGGACAAUGGGCGCAAGCCUGAUCCAGCUAUACCGCGUGGGUGAAGAAGGCCUUCGGGUUGUAAAGCCCUUUUGUUGGGAAGGAAAAGCAGCAGGUUAAUACCCCGCUGUUCUGACGGUACCCAAAGAAUAAGCACCGGCUAACUUCGUG